Molecule: non-coding RNA, 68 nt
Organism: Octopus bimaculoides (California two-spot octopus)
Lineage: Eukaryota; Metazoa; Mollusca; Cephalopoda; Octopoda; Octopodidae
Source: the annotation of a RefSeq genome assembly
AUUAAGGUGGCAGAUUAGUGUGAAGGAUUUAAGAUCCUUUUAUGAAAAGUUUAUUUUUUCUCUUAAUA